Molecule: long non-coding RNA, 2051 nt
Organism: Choloepus didactylus (southern two-toed sloth)
Lineage: Eukaryota; Metazoa; Chordata; Mammalia; Pilosa; Megalonychidae
Exons: 6
Source: RefSeq, a predicted model, not a curated record
CAAAUAAACCCCCUUUAUAAAAACCCAUCCAUUUCUGAUAUUUUGCAUAACAGCACCAUUAGCAAACUGCAACAGGAAUCAAAGUGGGGUGAGGUAUUAGUGCCCCCUCAGCUCUUUUCUCUAUGGUGUUGGUUUUUAAAGUGUGGUUCCCAAUAUCAGCAUCACUUGGAAUGUCUUAAAAAUCAAAUUCUCAGGCUUCAUCUCAAACCUACUAAAUCAGAAUGCUGAGUGGGACCCAGGAAGCUCUCCAGGUUUUGGAUGCAUCUAAUCUUUUAAGAACUACUGCUGUAGGAUAUCCAGAGCCAUCCAGAAGACCUCUUGGCAAGAAGACAUGGCUUGAUGUUCCAAGGAGCUGUCACCCGGACCCCUCUGAGAUCGGACGGUUUUGACUGUGAGAAUUGGCAGCUUGAAACCAUGGGAAAGAAGCUCCAAAUCAGCAUCCAUACCUGGGAAAUGCCACCCCAUUGUUCCGAUGACUGAAUAUGGGCCACAAUGAGAAAAAUGAAACCAGACUCUCCUGGUAUCUGCUAUGAAUCAACACUCAAGGCCUCUUAUUUUUCUGGAAAUGGAGAUCGAUGUUGUGGGUAGUCUUGUACCACAGGGAUCAAGAGAAUUUUGCAGUUCAUCCUGCAGUCUAAAGAUGAGAAAUUUGAGAAUCUAAAGUUUGGGCAAAAUAUCAGAUGGUUGCUGCUCCACUUUCAUGAGUUGAUAAAUUCUUAUGCCGUGAAUAUACAUGGGAAUUUACUGCCAACAACCACAAUAUUUUUCCAGCGAGAUACUGUUUUCCCCCACUUGCUCAAAUGAGUCAGAGACUUUCAGAAGCUUAAAAAGGGAGAAGUGGGUCGUCGUGAGGAUCUGAGCAUAUGAAGGAAGAGCAGACUGACUCAGUGGGCCAUGCUUUACAUGUAAUUCAACACUGUCUUCAGAAUCUAGUGCCUUAACUUGGAAGGCAUGAGUGAAUUCUACACAGAUACACAGAGAUGCUUAAGAAACAGCACAGAGAAGGCUCUGGGAACAUCAGUUAAAGUUGUAUAGCUACUUGCAAUGUAUUAUUUUAACUCUCUGAGUGUUUCCAUAAUAUGCAUUGAUCUAAUAUUCAAUAUUCAGAGAAGGUUGUUUCUUCUCUGUGUCCUUGGCUGGUUCUUCUACAUCUUCCAGAAUUCUAUGCUUUGCAGGGCCCAGGACUUACUUCAGUCUAUCUGCAUUCACAAACUGAGCUAUCAUAUCCUGAAUUAGUGACAUUUGGAAGCUGGUGACUCCCAAAGUUAUACCUUCAACCUAACCUUUCCCUCAAACUCUAACCUCAUAUCUAAUGGCCUUGACAUUGCCUUUUGAUAUCUAAUAGACUUCUUAAACUCAAUUGUCCAAAAUGGACAGAUCUCCUAAUCACCAACCUUCCAUUAACCCCCUUUUUCUGUAACUUAAUAAAGUCUGUCUUUCUGUUUGCUCAGGCUAAAGAACUUUCGAGUAAUCCUUGACUCCUCUCUUUCUCUCAUUCUCCACAACCAAAUCAUCAUCAAAUCCUGUUGGUUCUAUCUCCAAAAUAUAGCUGGAAGUCAGCUACUUCUUACCACGUAUCCCUCAGUCAUCCUGGUCCAAGCCACUGCCUUCUCCUACCACCCUUGGCCCUACAGUCUAUUCUCAACACAGCAAUCAGAGUAAUCCUUUUAAAUGAGAUUUAAAAAGAUUAUGUCCUUUUGUUCCUUACAACCCCCCAGUGGCUUCCCUAUCAAUUGGAACAUGUCGGGAUUGAAUCACGUACUCCACAAAAGAACUGUUCAAGUCUGACUCUGUGUUCCUGUGGGUGUGAAACCCAUUUGUUAAUCGUAUCUUUGAAUAUGUUACGGUGAGUAUGGUGAAUGUUCACUCAUUUGUGAAUAGGAACUUUGAAGACCCUAUUUAGGUGAGGCCAAACUGAAUCAGGGUAGGCCUUAAACCCCAUGACUGGAGGCCUUAUAAGGAGAGGACAUAUGGGCAGUCAGAGAAAUCCACAAGAGAAGACAAAGGGCAGAGAUUGCCAUGUGUCCAAGGACAGCCAAAAGCAUGACCUU